CAGCAGCCGCGGUAAUACGAAGGGUGCGAGCGUUAAUCGGAAUUACUGGGCGUAAAGCGCGCGUAGGUGGUUUGAUAAGCGAUAUGUGAAAUCCCCGGGCUCAACCUGGGAACAGCAUGUCGAACUGUCAGGCUAGAGUAUGGUAGAGGGGUGUGGAAUUUCCUGUGUAGCGGUGAAAUGCGUAGAUAUAGGAAGGAACAUCAGUGGCGAAGGCGACACCCUGGACCGAUACUGACACUGAGGCGCGAAAGCGUGGGUAGCGAACAGGAUUAGAUACCCUGGUAGUCCACGCCGUAAACGAUGUCAACUAGCCGUUGGGGGGCUUGUCCCUUCAGUGGCGGAGCUAACGCGAUAAGUUGACCGCCUGGGGAGUACGGCCGCAAGGUUAAAACUCAAAGGAAUUGACGG
This 408-nucleotide ribosomal RNA is filed under the name uncultured bacterium. RNAcentral describes it as "bacterial SSU rRNA". It matches the Rfam family "Bacterial small subunit ribosomal RNA", at positions 509 to 916 of the family's 1533-position model. The record is from RNAcentral.